AUUGAACGCUGGCGGCAGGCCUAACACAUGCAAGCCGAACGGUAACAGGAAACAGCUUGCUGUUUCGCUGACGAGUGGCGGACGGGUGAGUAAUGUCUGUGAAACUGCCUGAUGGAGGGGGAUAACUACUGGAAACGGUAGCUAAUACCGCAUAACGUCGCAAGACCAAAGAGGGGGACCUUCGGGCCUCUUGCCAUCGGAUGUGCCCAGGUGGGAUUAGCUAGUAGGUGGGGUAACGGCUCACCUAGGCGACGAUCCCUAGCUGGUCUGAGAGGAUGACCAGCCACACUGGAACUGAGACACGGUCCAGACUCCUACGGGAGGCAGCAGUGGGGAAUAUUGCACAAUGGGCGCAAGCCUGAUGCAGCCAUGCCGCGUGUAUGAAGAAGGCCUUCGGGUUGUAAAGUACUUUCAGCGGGGAGGAAGGGAGUAAAGUUAAUACCUUUACUCAUUGACGUUACCCGCAGAAGAAGCACCGGCUAACUCCGUG
Molecule: ribosomal RNA, 490 nt
Filed under: uncultured bacterium
Lineage: Bacteria
Description: partial 16S ribosomal RNA
Rfam family: Bacterial small subunit ribosomal RNA
Source: RNAcentral